CAUGCUGUAAACGUUGUGCACUAGGUGUGGGAGGUAUCGACCCCUUCCGUGCCGCAGCUAACGCAUUAAGUGCACCGCCUGGGGAGUACGGUCGCAAGACUGAAACUCAAAGGAAUUGACGGGGGCCCGCACAAGCGGUGGAGCAUGUGGUUUAAUUCGAGGCAACGCGAAGAACCUUACCCAGGCUUGACAUCCCGUGACCGCCUGUGAAAGCAGGUUUUCCCUUCGGGGACACGGAGACAGGUGU
RNAcentral lists this ribosomal RNA (247 nucleotides) under uncultured Candidatus Hydrogenedens sp. RNAcentral's name for it is "partial 16S ribosomal RNA". It matches the Rfam family "Bacterial small subunit ribosomal RNA", at positions 796 to 1041 of the family's 1533-position model. Lineage: Bacteria; Pseudomonadati; Candidatus Hydrogenedentota; Candidatus Hydrogenedentia; Candidatus Hydrogenedentales; Candidatus Hydrogenedentaceae. The record is from RNAcentral.